UUCGUAAACAUGACUAUCAUCAUGGUGGUCAUUGUCCAACUGUUUCUUAUCUAUGUCCGUAACUAUGUUCUAGGCCGGGCUAUUAGUUUAAUUCAAAGUUGUGGAGAAAUCACUUGCUGCUGAAUCUUACUCGCCUUUUUUUUCCCUCUUGUGAUUGCUAUAAAUCCAUUCAUUCAAAUUAGUCAUGGAGCAAAAUUUUCACUUUUUACUCCCCCAUAAGAAGUGAAGGACGAAUAUAUUUUUUUGCUAUGUUCUUUACAAUUUGAAAGACUUAUAUUGAUAAACGGUGAGUGAUUUUUGGCGUACGCACAUACUUACGUGUUUCCCAAUUUCUCGGAACACAUUAAUGCAUGCUCAGAUAAAAUUACAUUAAAAUGAAGAAAAGGAAAAACUAGUGAACAAAAUAAACAUGUUUUUGAGCAUCUUGUUUCUGCAGAAUGAAUUUUAUAUCACCUCUCUUAAAUAAGAUACGAUGAUUUUUCCACUGAUCUUGUAGGAUUGAAUAAGGUAUACUCACGAACAUGCCACAUAAAACAUAUAUGGCCCAAGUCUUCAUAAACAUGAAUGUCAUCAUGGUUGUCAUUGUCUAACUGCUUCUUCUCACUGUCUGUAACAAUAUUGUAGGACGAGCUAUUACUUUGAUCAAAGAGUUGGAGAAAUCACUUGCUGCUGGAUUUUACUCACCUAUUCUUUUUCUCGUCCUUGAGAUAGUCACAAAACCACCCGCUCAAAUUAGUCAUGGGGCAAGAUUUUCAGUUUUUGCUCUCCAUAAGAAGAGAAGGACGAAUAUGUUUUUUCUUAUCUUCUUCACAAUGCUAAAAACAACCAUUGAGGGAUAGUUACGGACUAUUUUAUUUGCCCACAUAAGUAAAACAUAUGAUUUUUGCUGUAUUCACAUAUUUACAUGUUUCCCAUUUUCUAGAAACACAUUAAUGCAUGCUCGAAUGGAAUUACAUUAAAAUAAAGAAUAAAAUUAGUGAACAAAACGAAAAUGUUUUUGAGCAUCUUGUUUCUACACAAUGAAUUUUUUUUAUAAUCUCUCUUAAAUAAGUUACAAAGCUUUUUCCACUGAUCAUGAAAUGUUAAAUAAACUAUACUCACGAACAUACCACAUAAACGACACAAGUCUUCAUAAACAUGAAUAUCAUCAUGGUGGUCAUUAUCCAACUGUUUCUUAUCUAUGUCCGUAACCAUAUUCUAGGGCGGGCUAUUAGUUUGAUUCAAAGUGGUGGCGAAAUCACUUGUUGCUGGAUCUUACUCGCCUGUUUUUUUCUCUCUUGUGAUGGCCAUAAAUCCAUUCGUUCAAACUAGUAAUGGAGCAAGAUUUUCACUUUUUACUCUCCAUAAGAAGUGAAGGACGGAUAUAUUUUUUCUGCUAUCUUCUUUACAAUUCAAAAGACUUACAUUGAUAAAUAGUGAGUGAUUGUUUUAUUUGAUCGCAUAAUUAAGUAGGAAUAUGUGAUUUUUGUCGUACACACAUAUUUACGUGUUUCCCAUUUUCUCGAAACACAUUAAUGCAUUCUCGUAUGGAAUUACAUUAAAAUGAUGAAAAGGAAAAAUUAGUGAACAAAAUAAACAUGUUUUUUUUAAUGGAACACAGCAGGGGAGGCCCCCGCUGUUAUAAAACUUUAUUAAAAAGGAAGAAAAGCAAAAUACAAUUACAAGGAAUUAAUCCAAGAUAUAACUACUAAUUUGUCUCUCUCGUUAAGUCUAAACAAAAAGAAGGAGAUCACCCUUUAAGAGUUGCCUCCAGGAAGUCAAAGAAGGAACUUUUCCAUCAAAAAUGAGACCAUUCCUUUGCUUCCAAAUAUUCCAAGAAACAAGAAGGAACUUUUCCAUAAAGCAAAGAUCAUGAUGUCUUCUUUUAGCAUCUAUCAACAUUGGUCCCAAACUGAAAGAUGUAUUCCAGUUAAUGCCAACUGUAUGCCAACAACUCUGAGCAAAAGGGCAAACAAAGAACAUGCCACGUAAACGACAUCUAUCAAAUAAACAUGUUUUUUAGCAUCUUGUUUCUGCACAAUGAAUUUUAGAUCACCUCUCUUAAAUAAGAUACGAAGCAAGGUAUACUCACGAACAUGCCAUGUAAACGGCAUACGUGGCCCAAGUCUUCAUAAACAUGAAUAUCAUCAUGGUUAUCAUUGUCUAACUGUUUCUUCUCACUAUCUAUAGCAAUAUUGUAGGAUAAGCUAUUAUUUUGAUCAAAGAGUUGGAGAAAUCACUUGCUGCUAGAUUUUACUCACCUAUUCUUUUUCUCUGCCUUGAGAUGGUCAUAAAUCCACCCGCUCAAAUUAGUCAUGGGGCAAGAUUUUAACUUUUUGCUCUCCAUAAGAAGAGAAGGACGAAUAUGUUUUUUUGCCAUCUUCUUCACAAUUCUAAAAACUUCCAUUGUGGAAUAGUUGGUGACUAUGUUAUUUGCCCACAUAUGUAAGAACAUACGAUUUUUGGCAUUUGCACAUAUUUACGUGUUUCCUAUUUUUUUGAAACACAUUAAUACAUGCUCGAAUGAAAUUACAUUAAAAUGAAGAAAAGAAAAAUAGUGAACAAAAUGCACAUGUUUUUUAGCAUAUUGUUUCUACAGAAUGAAAAUUUCUUGAUAAUCUCUCUAAAAUAAGUUACAAAACCUUUUGCAUUGAUCAUGUAAGUUUGAAUCAACUAUGCUCACGACAAUUCCACUUAAACGGCAUACAUGACCCAAGUCUUCAUCAACAUGAAUAUCAUCAAUGUGGCCAUUCUCCAAUUGUUUCUUAUCUUUGUCCGUAACCAUGUUGUAGGCCGAUGGCUAUUAGUUUGAUCCAAAGCAUUGGAGAAAUCACUUGCUGCUAGAUGUUACCCGCCUAUUCUUUUUCUCUCUCUUGGGUUGGCCAUAAAUUCACCCACUCAAAUUAGUCAUGGAGCAAGAUUUUCACCUUUUGCUCUCCAUAAGAAGAGUAUGAUGAAUAUGUUUUUCUACUAUCUUCUUUACAAUUCUAAUGCCUUGCAUUGAAAAAUAGUGAGUAAUUGUUUUAUUUGCCCACAUAAGUAUGAACUUGGGAUUUUUGGCAUACACACAUGUUUACGUGUUUCCCAUUUUUUCGAAACACAUUAAUGCAUGCUCACAUGGAAUUACAUUAAAAUGAAGAAAAGAAAAAAAUUAGUGAACAAAAUAAACAUGUAUUGCAUCUUGUUUCUGCACAAAUAAUUUUUUAUCACCUCUCUUAAAUAAGAUACGAAGCUUUUUCCACUGAUCAUGUAAGAUUGAAUCAGCUAUACUCACGAACAUGGCUACAUAAAUGACAUCUUGUAGGUUGGACUAUUAGUAUGAUCCAAAGCGUUAGAGAUAUGGCUUGCUGGUAGAUCUUACUCGCCUAUUAUUUUUCUAUCUCUUUGGGUUGGCCGUAAAUCCUCCUCUCAAAUUAGACAUGGGGCAAGAUUUACAUUAUUUGCUCUUCAUAAGAAGAUAAGAUCGAACAUGUGUUUCUAUUAUCUUCCUAGCAAUUCUAAAGAGUUGCUUUGAGGAAUAGUGAGUGAAUGUUUUGUUUGCCCACAUAACUAGGAACAUGAGAUUUCUUGGCAUAUGCAUGAAUUUAUGUGGCUUUCAUUUUCUCGAAACACAUUAGCGCAUGCUCAAAUGGCAAUAGAUUUAAAAUGAAGAAAGCGAACUAUGAGUAAACAAAAUGAACAUGUUUUUGAUCAUCUUGGUUUUGAAAAGUGAAAUAAAAACAUCUAUCAAAUAAAAUACAAAGCUUUUUCCACUGAUUGUUGAAUAUUGAAUUAGCUACUCUCACGACCAUACCACAUAAAUGGUAUACGUGGCCCAAGUCUUCAUAAAUAUGAAUAUCAUCGUUGAAGUCAUUGUCCAACUCUUCAUCCGUAAGCAUGCUGCAGACAUAGUUAUUUGUUUGAUCCAAAGCAAUGGAGAAAUCAUCUUUUGCUGGAUCUAGCUAUUUGUUUGAAUGGCCAUAAUACCUCCACUAAAACUAGACAUGGGGUAAAAUUUUCGUUGUUUGCGCUCCAUAAGAAGGAAGGAAGAACUAGUUUUUUUUGCUAUCUUCUUCGUAAUUCUGAUAACAACAUUAGGAAAUUGUGAAUAACUUUUUUAUAUGCCAACAUUAGUAUUAAUAUGGGUUGAAUUCUUGGUGCAUGCACAUAUUUUUGUGCUUCAUACCUUCUCAAAGCACAUUGUUGCAUACUAGUGUAGUAGUAAAAUAAAAAAGUAAUAGUGAAUGAACAAAAUUAAUGUGUUUUAGUUAUCAUCUUGUUUUUGCAAAAUAAAAAGAGAAUAACCUUUUAUCAUAAAUAAACUACAAACCUUUCUCCAUUGACCGUGCAAUAUUGAAUUACUGUUCUCACGAUCAUACCACAUGCAUGGAUAAAUGGCCCAAAUCUUUGUAAACAAGAAUGACAUGAUUGUGUCAUUGGCCAAAUGUUUUUCUCUUUUCUCGUAGAUAUGUUUUUGGCGUGUCUAUUGGUUUGAUUUAAAUCGUUGGAGGUCAUAGCUCGCCUUUUCUUUUUCUUUCUCUAAGGAUAGCCAUAGUGCUAUCAUUGAAAUGGUAGUUUUUUUUUGCCCGGGGGGGGGGGGGGGUUGUCAGAUUUCCACUAUUUUCUCUCCGUAAAAAGAGGAGAGAAGGGAGAAGAUAUUUUUCUACUAUCUUCUACAUAUUUCUAUUGACCAAAGUUAAGCAAUAGUGUGUGACUAUUUUACUUUUCCACCAAAGUAAUAACAUGGGUUGAUUAAUGCCCAUACACUCAUCUUUAAGUGCCUCCCAUUUUCUCAAAAUACGUUAAUUCACAUUUGACUUGCAACAUCGAUAAAUAGGAAAUACUAACAGUGUAGUAGCUCAAAAUUUGUAACACAUGCAGCUAAUAGAAAUGAGAAAGUAUUUCGAGACAAGUAAUUAUUUUUAGUCAAAUAUGUAUUGCAAAAGUUUGGGCUGCACAUACACGGUUACUAAUUUUUACUAAUCAGUAAAAUCUAAUAAUAUUGAUAUGAAUUCCAUAUUUAACAUCCAUCCUAAUGCAGCAAAUCAUUUAAAGUAUAAUUUUCAAGGCAAUCAGACAAAUAUCCUAGUCUAGGUUUGAAUUGUUUGAUCAUGUCAAGGUUUUUCUACUAUCAUACUAUAUACAUGGGAUACAUGGCCCAAAACUUCAUAAACAUGAAUACUAUGAUUGCGGUCAUUAUCCAACUGUUUUUUAUUGGCUAUCCUUUCUGAUGUGUCAAGCAGUCCAAAAUAUAUAAUUAGAAUACUAAAUAGAAUACAAAUUUAACCAUAACUGAAUUCAAAAGCACAUAUUUAACCCAUGAUGUUUGUGCUACAAAUAAACCUUCUUCGUACCUCCCACGGACAACAGGUGUUUCCAACCAAUUAUUCACAUCUUAUAAUCAUGGCCAUAUCACACUUAUCUCAAUACACAAGAACCCACAGCCAGUUUACUGGAGUAAAUAGCCACAACCCUGCAAGUUACUCGGUCUAGUACGAUCCAUAAUAGGGAGGCAUGGUUGUACGGUAUUACAUGAGCGAACAUCCCAACCAACCGUCCUUAAUCAACUCAGAUGGUGCUACGUGCAUCCGAAAUAAGUUCCAUAAUUAGCCAGAUCAUGUAUGAUAAUUUAUGUUUAUUACCAUUCCCAAUCCAAGCAUGAUUCAUUCCCAUUCACCUAUCUCAAUCAACCAGCUAUUUCCGUUAACUGCAUACCAUUGUCUUCUCUAUGCAUGGCUAAGCAUUUAUUCAAGUAGUAGUCCCAUAGAUAUUACCCAUCUACUGUUUGACAAGGUAUACAAGAUCAAUAAUUGAAGGCAAGAUGCAAAUAGCAAUAGGAUAAUAAACUCUACCCGACAUAUUUGCAAAUGGCGAUGCAUAUAUAGUUUUAAAUCAAAACAUGCUUUUGCAAAUUGGGUUCAACAUAACCAAAAUUUAGCCUUGUUCCUGUGCUAUUUAUUGAGGCUCUUCUGGUUACUCCUUGAGCUCAUCCUGCACAUCAGAAUUUAGCAAGAAACCAAGAGACAAAUAAGAACCAAUAGAUAAAUAGGUUACAAAACUAGGAAAACUUCUACCACGGUAAAGAAAAUGUUGUGAGAUGAAGUGGUACACUGCACAUUGACAACAUUCCUGACUAUAGGUUACAUUUAUGCUUAACUUCAAAUUUUACUUGUUUGCUCACUGAAACUGUCCUCAAUUUUCAUUCAAUAGUAGAGAGAGAAUAUUGGACUAAUUGCAUUAAUCAUCUAGGACAGUGUAUAUAUAGAUAGAGUACAGAGAUAGAAGAUAAGGAAGGACUCUAAACAAAUCAAUCCUAUCUAUGAUAUCAUAGUUUUUUUAAUAUAUACCAAUCGAUUGUUUAUCUUUACAGGAUUUUGGUCUUAACCUCAUGAAACUAAACCAUCAGAAACUAACUAUAGAGUUUUGUUGAUUUCACAAAUGCGCUUCUUCAAAAAUACCAUUUAUGCCCAAAAGAAAUAUUCCGCAAGCAUACAAAAAACCAUUGUACCUUUCACUUGGGAGUAUUGUAUCGAAUCCACAA
RNAcentral lists this small RNA (6499 nucleotides) under Oryza sativa Japonica Group (Japanese rice). RNAcentral's name for it is "sRNA Os08g0249750". Lineage: Eukaryota; Viridiplantae; Streptophyta; Magnoliopsida; Poales; Poaceae. The record is from RNAcentral.